GACGAACGCUGGCGGUGUGCUUAACACAUGCAAGUCGAACGGUAAGGCCCUUUCGGGGGUACACGAGUGGCGAACGGGUGAGUAACACGUGAGUAACCUGCCCUCAUCUCUGGGAUAACAGUCGGAAACGGUUGCUAAUACUGGAUAUGAGCCUGCAAGGCAUCUUGUGGGUUGGAAAGAUUUUUUGGUUGGGGGUGGACUCGCGGCCUAUCAGCUUGUUGGUGAGGUAGUGGCUCACCAAGGCUUCGACGGGUAGCCGGCCUGAAAGGGCGACCGGCCACAUUGGGACUGAGAUACGGCCCAAACUCCUACGGGAGGCAGCAGUGGGGAAUAUUGCACAAUGGACGGAAGUCUGAUGCAGCAACGCCGCGUGCGGGAUGACGGCCUUCGGGUUGUAAACCGCUUUCAAUUGUGACGAAGCUUUUUGUGACGGUAGCAGUAGAAGAAGCACCGGCUAACUACGUG
This 465-nucleotide ribosomal RNA is filed under the name uncultured bacterium. RNAcentral's name for it is "partial 16S ribosomal RNA". It matches the Rfam family "Bacterial small subunit ribosomal RNA", at positions 28 to 507 of the family's 1533-position model. The record is from RNAcentral.